UACGGAUAUUAUAUGUUAUGUUAAAUUUAUUGUCCUUCAAACAUAUUUUUCGCGAUCUAAUGGUUAUUUAUGCCAAUUAUCACCCUAGGGAUGUUCCGAGUUUGUACCAGUAAGUAAAAAAAAAAGGCGUUUGCAUUUUUUUCCCCUUUCACCUUAAAAAAAAAAUGAAUUUUAGAUGUACAUAAAGACCCUAGCCAUCACUCACUCGUAAUAUUUUUAUCGCAAAAUAUCCCUCGAUUUGCU
Cinara cedri is the source of this 243-nucleotide non-coding RNA. Lineage: Eukaryota; Metazoa; Arthropoda; Insecta; Hemiptera; Aphididae. The record is from the annotation of a GenBank genome assembly.